RNAcentral lists this ribosomal RNA (2057 nucleotides) under bioreactor metagenome. RNAcentral describes it as "bacterial LSU rRNA". It matches the Rfam family "Bacterial large subunit ribosomal RNA", at positions 1 to 1977 of the family's 2925-position model. The record is from RNAcentral.
ACAAGGUAGUUAGGGGCGCACGGUGGAUGCCUAGGCACUGAUGGCCGAUGAAGGGCGUGGCAAGCUGCGAUAAGCCGCGGGGAGCUGCAAGCGGGCUUCGAUCCGCGGAUUCCCGAAUGGGGAAACCUGGCUCGGCAAACCCGAGUCACCUAGCCUUUGCUAGGGGGAUACCCGGCGAAGUGAAACAUCUCAGUAGCCGGAGGAAAGGAAAUCGAAAGAGAUACCCCAAGUAGUGGUGAGCGAAAGGGGUGUAGCCUAAACCGAUCGCGUGCUAAAGCCUGCGGGCGUUGCGCGGUCGGGGUUGAGGGAGCGUACCGGGCCUAACCGCAGGUAGGCCGGGCAGUUACAAACCGCAUGGUUAGUCGAACGGUGUUGGAAAAGCCGGCCAUAGAGGGUGAAAGCCCCGUAGGCGAAAGUCAUGCGGCUGCCUGGGUGCGCAUCCCAAGUAAGCCGGAGCACGCGGAAUUCUGGCUGAAUCCGGGCCGACCACGGUCCAAGGCUAAAUACCAUCAGUGACCGAUAGCGCAUAGUACCGAGAGGGAAAGGUGAAAAGAACCCCUGGCGGGGAGUGAAAUAGACCUGAAACCGUGUGCCCACAAGCUGUCGGAGCCUGACUUGAAGGCAACUUCAAGCCGGGUGACGGCGUGCCUAUUGAAGAAUGAGCCGGCGAGUUGUAGCGCGUGGCGAGGUUAAGGGCGUAAACGUCCGAAGCCGUAGGGAAACCGAGUCCGAAUAGGGCGCUAGUCGCGCGUUGCAGACCCGAAGCCGUACGAUCUAUCCAUGGCCAGGUUGAAGUCCGGGUGACACCGGAUGGAGGACCGAACCAGUUGGUGUUGCAAAACCAUUGGAUGAGCUGUGGAUAGGAGUGAAAAGCUAAUCGAGUACGGUGAUAGCUGGCUCUCCCCGAAAUGCAUUUAGGUGCAGCCUCCUGUGUUCAGUGGUGGAGGUAGAGCACUGGAUGGGUGAGGGGGGUGAUGACCCUACCGAGCUCAACUAAACUCCGAAUGCCACCACUUAAUAGCAGGGGAGUGAGACCGUGGGGGAGAAGCUUCACGGUCGAAAGGGAAACAGCCCAGACCGACGGCUAAGGUCCCAAACGCGAGCUAAGUGUUAUAAGGAUGUGGAAGAGCUUAGACAGCCAGGAGGUUGGCUUAGAAGCAGCCAUCCUUGAAAGAGUGCGUAAUAGCUCACUGGUCGAGCGCUUCUGCGCCAAAAAUGUAGGGGGCUAAGCUCGCGACCGAAGCCUCGGAUCCGAAGACUUAGGUCUUUGGAUGGUAGGGGAGCGUUCCUGUCGGGUCGAAGUCGCAUCGUGAGGUGCGGUGGACUGGCAGGAAGUGAGAAUGCCGGUAUGAGUAGCGUUAAAGCAAGUGAAAGACUUGCUCACCGGAAGCCCAAGGGUUCCUGGGGAAGGGAAUCCGCCCAGGGUUAGGCGGGGCCUAAGGCGUAGCCGAAGGGCGAAGCUGAUGGACAGCCGGUAGACAUUCCGGCCCCACCUUGGCAACGUUUGUACCGAAGGGGUGACGCAGGGAGCUAGGCGCGCUGGGCGAUGGAAUGCCCAGUCCAAGGGAGUAGGGGGAGCUUUCAGGCAAAUCCGGAAGCUCGUUAACCCCGAGACCUGAUGGGGAGCCUUAAUUAUAAGGCGAAGGCGUUGACGCUGCACUGCCAAGAAAAGCCUCUAGGGAGGAGUCAGGGUGCCCGUACCCUAAACCGACACAGGUGGGCUGGUUGAGCAGACUGAAGGUGGACGGGAUAACUCUCGCUAAGGAACUCUGCAAGUUGACCCCGUAACCUAGGGAGAAGGGGUGCCCGCGUUAGGUGAACUCUUUUACAGGGCUAGCCGAGGCGGGUGGCAGAAACCAGGUCCAGGCGACUGUUUAAUAAAAACACAGGGCUCUGCUAAAGGCGAAAGCCGAUGUAUAGGGCCUGACACCUGCCCGGUGCCGGAAGGUUAAGGGGAGGGGUUAGCCAAAGCGAUUUGGCGAAGCUCCAAACUGAAGCCCCGGUAAACGGCGGCCGUAACUAUAACGGUCCUAAGGUAGCGAAAUUCCUUGUCGGGU